This is an RNA transcript of Malania oleifera, 1363 nucleotides long. It is a transcript of the gene named NDR1/HIN1-like protein 13, with no coding region annotated. The transcript has 3 exons. The record is from RefSeq and is a predicted model, not a curated record. NCBI's taxonomy places the organism in Eukaryota, Viridiplantae, Streptophyta, Magnoliopsida, Santalales, Ximeniaceae.
CACUUAUAUUUGUCACCGUUUAUUUAUUUAUUUUCUUUUUUCAACAUGUCAAAGCUGAACCAGAACACUCACUCUCUCUGUCUCUCUCUAGAAACGAACUGAGGAAGAGACACGGGGGGAGGGGGAGGAGAGAAGGGGGCUGAAGUCAGGCAGUGCACGAUUGUCGAAAAAUGACAUCGAGGGCUAACGAGAACGGCGAGCACAGAGCGCCCCGCCCACCACCGAGCCACCAUCACCACUACUACCCUCGGCCGUCGUCGUCGGCGUCCUUUAAGGGCUGCUGCUGCUGCCUCUUCCUCUUCUCCGCCUUCCUCCUCCUCCUCCUCCUCGCUGUCGUCCUCGUCGUCGUGCUCGCAGUGAAGCCCAAGAAGCCCCAGUUCGAUCUGAGGGAAGUGAGCGUGCAGUAUGUCGGCGUGAGCCCCAAUGCUCCGGCGACGUCGGCGGCCGACGGGGUGCCCACGGCGUCGCUGUCGCUGAACAUCGGGAUGAGCUUCACGGCGGUGAACGAGAACAAGGUGGGGAUCAAGUACGGGGAGUCGGUGUUCACGGUGAUGUACAAGGGGGUUCCUCUAGGGAGGGCGUCGGUGCCGGGGUUCUACCAGCCGGCGCAUAGCGUCCGGCGGCUCAACACAACCGUCGCCGUAGAUCGGGUAAACUUGCUUCAGCCUUACGCCACCAAUUUAAUGCAGGACGCUUUGGUCCGUGAUCGCGUGGAGCUCAGAAUUUUGGGCGAUGUCGGCGCUAAGAUCCGGCUCAUGGGCGUCACUUCGCCCGCCGUUCAGGUAUCGGUGGAUUGUACCAUUGCGAUAAGCCCGAAGAAUCAGUCUCUCUCCUACAAGCAAUGUGGAUUCGAUGGUCUAAGCGUCUGAUCUCAUCUCACCUCGCCUGAUCUCUGAUCCAGUAGCAAUAGCACUCCGUAGAAGUUAGAAGACUAUUAUACUAAUGGAGAAGCGAUGUAGUAGAAGAAGAAGGUAGCAGCUAGGGAUCAAACCCCAUGCUCUGCAGCCAGCCCUUUUCCUCGAUCAGUCCAAGUGGACGGAACUGAAGGAUAGAUCAAAAAAAAAAAAAAAAAACCAGAAAUGAGGGAGGGAGAGAGGGAGGGGAAAUGGGAAAUUUUUCCCGCGAUUUUAUUUUAUUUUAUUUUGAUUCUGGGGUUGAGGAUGAUAUUGCUGUUUUUUUUUUUUUUUUUUUUGAGGCGGCUUACUUCAUUGCUAAGGGAAAUGCCAAACUGCUUUUUCCAUUGUAAAAUGUGAAGUGGGCAUGCGCCGAUGCUUUGCUUUGCUUUGCUGUUGUAUUUGAAAAAGAAACUUAAUAUAUUGAUUCCUGAAAGUGCAGAGGACAUAUAAUUCAAAUCCAUUCUCUC